RNAcentral lists this small nuclear RNA (19 nucleotides) under Phaeodactylum tricornutum CCAP 1055/1. RNAcentral describes it as "snRNA PTsRNA00028a". The record is from RNAcentral. Lineage: Eukaryota; Bacillariophyta; Bacillariophyceae; Surirellales; Neidiaceae.
UCGAUUCCCAGCAGCCACA